UGAAUACCACAACAAAUAAAAGCAAAACCAUUUGUGCCAUUCGUGUUAAGAAGUUGAAUUGAAACUGCUUAAUUUGAAUUAAAGCAUGAAUUCAAUAUACUACAACCUGAGCAUGAAUGCAAUUAAUAUAUCUAACUGAAAAAAGAAAAAAAAAAACAAAGAUAUUUAUAUAACAUAAAAGUUCAUAAAAGGAUGUGAUAUAUAUGCUCAUGUUCCCAUUCAAUAAUUAAUGUCAUACAACAUAAACGCAUUCACUUUUUUUUUUGGACAGCGAUAAACGCAUUCACUUAGCCAAAGUUGUCGAUCAGCCAAGCCAUAUCUUGUAUCUCCCCUUUUGCUAUAGAGGUUGAAAGAGUUGAUAUAAGGUGCUUCAGCGCCAAACCCAUUGUUUUUUUCUUCAACAAAUCAAUAUAGACCAUUCAUUGAAAAUGUCUAGCAACACUUAACAAAACAUACAAAAUGCUAAGCUAAACAGAGUGUUACAACAGUGUACAAUAUAUCGACAAUGGCGAUCAGACACAAACACACACACACUGAAAAUUAACAACACAAGCACAAAAAACAGAAAAUUCCCAUUAAUAAAUGAACUGAUCCGUGGACAAGGUGUUGGGCACGGUCAAGAAAAUGAAGCCCAAGGGUGUGUCUAUCUUGGAGCAAGAAGUGAACCACAAUGGACAGGUUUUUCUGAACAUAGAGGAUGCAUAACUGAAACUUCUUAAAGCUUGGGUUUUUCUAAGGUGUUUGGAUCCAGCUUUGGGAACAAGCAUGGGAAGGCAUAUAUAUAUAUAUAUAUAUAUAUAUAUAUAUAUAUGUCUAAGAUCAAUGUAGUUGCGUUUUGGGUGGAGAAAGAGAUCCAAAGCAUUAGAACAAAGAAAGUGGGUGAGGGAGGCUAUGGUAUGGGAAUGGCAUGUAUGCAUGCUCUCAUAAUGCAUGAUAACAAUGUGGUGUAGGUGUCAA
RNAcentral lists this long non-coding RNA (957 nucleotides) under Glycine max (soybean). RNAcentral describes it as "long non-coding RNA (GMAX_LNC002589)". Lineage: Eukaryota; Viridiplantae; Streptophyta; Magnoliopsida; Fabales; Fabaceae. The record is from RNAcentral.